Long non-coding RNA from Rhineura floridana, 419 nucleotides. RefSeq lists it as uncharacterized. The record is from RefSeq and is a predicted model, not a curated record. Lineage: Eukaryota; Metazoa; Chordata; Lepidosauria; Squamata; Rhineuridae. The transcript has 3 exons.
ACGCCAACACGCCAAGCACAAAAACAAAUGCAAAACCAAGUUUACAAAAUGGUGGGGCCUUGCUGGAGAUAAUUCAUGUCCUCUAUGGCUGAGACUGCUAACUGGAGCAAGGUGUGUCUUGUUGAUAAUGAUACUAAUGGAGAAAAAGAACUAGAAAAUCUGAAGUGAUAACAUCCCAGAGUGCUAUGUGGCAGUUACAAAGGGGGGAAGAGAAGGAAGAGAAGUAUGAAGUACCUGCUUUGCCAGCCUUGGAUGAGGUUGGUGUAUUCGCGCAGAGAGCCCUCGAGCACCAUCUCCUUCUUCCUGAGUAAAUUGAGUAGCAGCAGUCCAGAGUUGGCAGACGCUACUUUUAAAGAUAGUCUCCAAGAUGACCUAAAUGUCAGAGAAACACAAAAAUAUGAUAUAGAAAACCUUCUCCU